AUAUUGGUCAAUGGGUGAGAGCCUGAACCAGCCAUGCCGCGUGCAGGAAGACGGCCUUCUGGGUUGUAAACUGCUUUUAUCAGGGGAUAAAAUUUCCAUGCGUGGAGAAUUGAAGGUACCUGAUGAAUAAGCCACGGCUAACUACGUGCCAGCAGCCGCGGUAAUACGUAGGUGGCGAGCGUUGUCCGGAUUUAUUGGGUUUAAAGGGUGCGUAGGCGGCCAUUUAAGUCAGUGCUGAAAUAUCCCGGCUUAACCGGGAGGGUGGCAUUGAUACUGGGUGGCUUGAGUGAAGUCGAAGUAGGCGGAAUUGACGGUGUAGCGGUGAAAUGCUUAGAUAUCGUCAAGAACACCGAUAGUGUAGACAGCUUACUAGGCUUUAACUGACGCUGAGGCACGAAAGUGUGGGGAUCAAACAGG
This 417-nucleotide ribosomal RNA is filed under the name uncultured bacterium. RNAcentral's name for it is "bacterial SSU rRNA". It matches the Rfam family "Bacterial small subunit ribosomal RNA", at positions 361 to 776 of the family's 1533-position model. The record is from RNAcentral.